UUCCAUCUGUUACGCCUAGGGUUUUAAUUUUUCAGACGUUACACCACCAUGAUCCCCUUUGAUUCAAUUGUUCAGACGUUACCAAAAUAAAAGAUACCCAUUAAUUUCUGCAUUCAAUCCCUUGAACUGUUCGACUAUAUAAACCUCUACAAGUUAUCUUGUGAGGGUUCCCGGGAUUUCAAUCUCCUUCUUCUCUAUCAAAAUUUAUUCAUGAUCUGUUGAACAAAAAGAAAUAAUUAAAAAGCGAAGAGUUCGUGCCAAUUGAAAGUUGGUUGAUUAAACUAUUUUAGUUGAACUGGAAAUGCUACAAUUCCAAAAUGGGACCUCAUUGAGAUUAUUAAUCUUGGUUCAAUUAUCUGAAAGGAACUCAAUAAGUACACUUUUACUACUUACUGCAUUCGUUUUUGGUAUCCCAUCUUAUGACUCAAUUUUUUUCCUAAUGGUUUUCUUAAAACAUAUAAUGGGCCAUAUAUAAAUCAGUUUCAUCCAUGUCUUUUGGGUACUCAUUGACGAUUUCUCUCGCUCUCUUAAGAUAGAGAAGACGAACUCCAUCGUGUUCCAAAGGUAUCAUUAGGAGGCAUAUAUUGCAGGUAUGCUGCAUUCUUCGCGUACUUAUAUUAGGUAAAAGUAGUUCUCAUAGUUGUAUCACACUAUGUUACGCCCGGUACAUCAAGUUUUGAUAGUAUGCGAUAGUCAUUUCAGUUAGCUUGAUAACUAUGGUUUCUGUUGUUGGAGUUAGGUCAGUUUGGAUAUCUAGCGCAUUCCUUUUAUAGUCCACUAUUAUAUAGUGUUCUUCUUGCACGAGCCACUCAUGCUAAAGCAUUAAUAUGGUUGCCAUUAAUAAUUUGUGAACUCCAUCAAAAACACUUCAUAAUCAGUCUCUAUUAGGUAAAUGAUUGUGAUUUCUGGGAUUUUACCUUCAGAAAGAAAAAACAUCUCCUUAUAUAUACCUCAUAGCUGGAAAGUGAUUGGUUGGUUCUCUAUCUAGGCUUAUAAGUUCCAUGACUCUGCUGAUAAGAAGUUAUGGAGUUGACACUAUUUUUUUUCACUAGAAGAAGGCGAUGGAUGACUCUACUUUGCGUGCUUGAGUUUAGCACUGUGUGGUUACAAUUUUCGCCAAGUAUGUUAUUGGCUAUGUGUUCAUAUGAACUCUGAGAAUCCUAACCUUGCAAGUGAAUUUUCAGGGAGUUCAGUUCUUAUCUGCGGUUGUGGGUUGACUUUCAUUUUUCCGUUGUUAACUUAAUGCAUUUUAUAAUUUGCAUGACAAUAUGAAAUAUGUCCGAGUCUUAUAGUUAUAUAUAUGUAGAAGUGUUGAUUUUUAUGUUCAAGAUUGUGUAGUUUUAGGAUAGACUAGCUAUAGACGUACAGGCGACAACCGCUACCUCUGUAUGUAACACAAUCUAAUGAAGAACUGAUAUGGGAUCUGGAAGCGGGAAACCGCCAGUGUAGUUGAUUACUCUUGGAAUCGAAAUUUUAAUCUUAGACCGAGAUGGACAUCAUAGUUUGGAUCAAAUUGAUUUUUUUUGUAAUGCAUACUUCAGAUCUAUAUUAUGUUCUCAAAAUUAUCAAUUUUGAAAUCAUAAAGAACAUCACAGUAGCAUAUAGCAUAUAACCUUAUACUCUGCCAUAAAGGUAGCAAAAAUGAUAUUUAGUUACUUUUUUCUUUGUAACUUUUUUUAUAUAAUUUUGUUAGUGUUGCAGUGAUUUUUAAUGGCAUGUCAACACUGAUACAAGUCUCCCAAGAGAAACCCAAUUAGCAGGUAUAUGAUUACGGCUACCAGAAAUUGGCAAAGGAUCCAAGUUAGGCUCGCCCAUAACUUGUAUAUAGGAUACCAAGUUGACUUCUAGGAUACCAAAGCGAUUAGCAGUUUGAAUUUAUUGCUGCUCGAUCAGAACGUAAGCUGCCUAAAAAGUGUUUAGCCAAAAACCCGGUUUGCAUUCUGCGGAAAAUGUGCUUUCCAAAUGGAACACUGAGAUCCAGCAUCUUGCUAUCUAACCGAAAACUCAAAAGCUCCCCAGGCACGUCAGAUCCACGAGCUUACUUUGCAGCACAUUAGUGGUUGGUGAUCUACAGAAGUAGUGGAACAAAUUCCAACGGUCAUCACAGAUGUGGUGAUCGUUAUGUGAAGGAAAGCUUGGUGUCACUGAUUUACGAUGUUGUUGCAGAGUACUAAUUCAACAUAUAUUAUUCGGUCAUUGCCUGUAUGAAUUUAGAGUGCUCGGAAUUAUGUAGAAUACAUUAGCUGAGAUACUAG
This is a long non-coding RNA of Papaver somniferum (opium poppy), 2255 nucleotides long. RefSeq lists it as uncharacterized. The transcript is spliced from 7 exons. NCBI's taxonomy places the organism in Eukaryota, Viridiplantae, Streptophyta, Magnoliopsida, Ranunculales, Papaveraceae. The record is from RefSeq and is a predicted model, not a curated record.